UGCAGUCGAACGGUAGAGUUUCUAGCUUGCUAGAGACUUGAGAGUGGCGGACGGGUGAGUAACGCGUAGGAAUCUGUCCAUUAGACUGGGACAACACGGGGAAACUCGUGCUAAUACUGGAUAAGUUCUAUGGAAGAAAGGUGGGAGGUAACUCCUAUCGCUAAUGGGUGAGCCUGCGUUGGAUUAGCUAGUUGGUGGGGUAAAGGCCUACCAAGGCGACGAUCCAUAGCUGUUCUGAGAGGAAGAUCAGCCACACUGGGACUGAGACACGGCCCAGACUCCUACGGGAGGCAGCAGUGGGGAAUAUUGGACAAUGGGCGCAAGCCUGAUCCAGCAAUACCGCGUGUGUGAAGAAGGCCUGAGGGUUGUAAAGCACUUUCAGCGAGGAGGAAGGCUAAUACNUUAAUACCGUAUUANAUUGACGUUNCUCGNANAANAAGCNNCGGCUAACUCUGUGCCAGCAGCCGCGGNAAUACANANGGUGCAAGCGUUA
This 493-nucleotide ribosomal RNA is filed under the name uncultured bacterium. Its description in RNAcentral is "partial 16S small subunit ribosomal RNA". It matches the Rfam family "Bacterial small subunit ribosomal RNA", at positions 56 to 543 of the family's 1533-position model. The record is from RNAcentral.